RNAcentral lists this ribosomal RNA (4855 nucleotides) under Didymium dubium. RNAcentral describes it as "partial 28S ribosomal RNA". The stretch from base 1382 to 1992 matches the Rfam family "Eukaryotic large subunit ribosomal RNA", at positions 2391 to 3003 of the family's 3401-position model. Lineage: Eukaryota; Evosea; Eumycetozoa; Physariida; Didymiaceae. The record is from RNAcentral.
GAGUAACUAUGACUCUCUUAAGGUAGCCAAAUGCCUCGUCAUCAUCAUAUGUGUCCUCAAACCAGUUGAGGCUGGGGUCGGUGGGGGUGGGUGCAGGGGGGCAGGGGGUCAAGGGGUCGAGGGGUCAAGGAGGGGUUGGAAGGCUGGAGGGGACCGAGGGCGUGGGGGUUAGGGGUCACGAGGGGAGGGGGGGGGGGAGGCAAGGUCUAGUAAGCUGGCUCACGCCGGCUGGACGACCAACCCUCCCCCCCCCCUCCCCGUGGCUCUCACCCCCCACGCUCACGGGUCCCUCCAGCCCUCCGACCCCCCCCCUGACCUCCCGACCUCUCGACCUCCCGCCUCCUCGCCCUCGCCCCUGCCGGCCCCGGCCGUGAUGCCUCGGUAGCCAGCGUCGUUCACAUAGCCACCAACAGGGGUGGGAGGACCUCCGGGACCUCCCGCCCCCUAGUAAGUGACUAAUGGGUUCCCUCUCCCACAGUAAUCGGUGAAAGCAGCCUGGUAGACGCCAACCCCCUCUCGAGGGAAGCGGCCCUGCCGGUCUGUCGGACCCGUGUCAGAAGGGGGGGAGCCUGCACCAAAUUGCAUGAAGGGGACCUGCCUGAACCUCCGAGCACCUAGUGCAAAGGGGCGAGGGUCCCCGACAGGCAGCCAAGCCGAGGUAUGGCCCCAGAUCUGGGAAGCUCCGAGGAGCCGCCCGGGUGGAUGGGAGUGGGUCAUACUGAGGAAGGUUCAGAGACUGAAAGGUGCUCUGGGCUGGGCUUUGGGGGUCUCGACCCGGUGGAUGGUAGGCGGGGGGGAUGGAUAGGCUGGGGGGGGGGGGAGGGGUGGGUGGGGUUGUAGGCUGGGCAGGGCAAGGGGGUGGUGGGAGGUAGAUAGAGGGUACCGGACCUUGGUCCAGUGCCCCGAGUCUACCCUCUCACCCCUCCCUUGUCCUGCCCAGCCCACACAACCCCCCCACCCCUCCCCCCCCCCCCCAGCCUAUCCAUCCCCCCCCCUACCAUCCACCGGGGCCCCAAGGUACCGGCCCUAGCUGAUACAGUCCAUCGCCAGGGGGGGAAAAGCUGUAUAAGCGGGUGGCUUGCGCCCCCGGCAGGGAUGGGUCGGAGGGUAGGACUGGUAGCGAGGUGGGGGGGGAGGAUGGGGAAGGUUGACGUGAGACCGCAAGGUCCCACCGAAGCCGACCUCUCCACCUCCCCCCACCUCGCCACCACUCCUACCCUCCCAUCCAGCUCUGCCGGGGGAAGAGCAUUGGCCAGUGGCUCGGUUGCUUUGUACCCCCCGUCUAGAUGUUAAUUUGUGACGCGCAUGAAUGGAUUAAUGAGAUUCCCACUGUCCCUACCUACUAUCUAGCGAAACCACAGCCAAGGGAACGGGCUUGGCCCAAUUAGCGGGGAAAGAAGACCCUGUUGAGCUUGACUCUAGGCACAGAAGCGAGGUGAUUCUAAAGGUGUAGCAUAGGUGGGAGGGCCUGGCCCGACCCUGAAAUACCACCACUUUCGACAUCGCUUUGCUAAUGCUGUAACGAAUGGACGGCCCCCUGAUGUCUCGGCUGCCUCCGGGUGGUCGACCAUUGGGUAAGGCUUCUUUCUGGUGAUCUCCCGGUCUGACACGGUGGCUUGGCCCCUCUGGGUGAGUACUUCGAGACCAUGAGUUGGGCUUCCGAGCCUGGCGAUUGCUGUCUUGGGGGAACCAGCGACGGUUGAGCCGCCCUCUGUCGGACCUCGUAGGGUACAUAAGCCGUGUAGCAAACCAUCUGUGUUGGGGAGUUUGGCUGGGGCGGAAAACUGCUACACGGCAACGGCAGUCUCCUAAGGUCCACUCAGAGACGACAGAAACGUCUCGUAGAGCAUAAAGGCAAAAGUGGGCUUAACUUACAUUUUCAGUAGUAAUGUGAAGCAAGAAAUUGAGGCUUAACGAUCCUUAGCGUCGGGUGCCAGCCCGCGCUUGAGGUGAGAGAAAAGUUACCACAGGGAUUGAUUUUCAUGUCGGUGGUCCCUGAGACCACCGAGGGCCGUCUGAUCCAACGCCCAACCCAGUCUUGAUAGCCUUCCGAGCCAACGGGGCCCUCCCAAGCCCCCCCCCUCCCGCCUCCUCCCAGCCGUCGCCGCCGCCUCCACCCAGCCACCCAGCCUAGCCUCCGUCAGUAAGCCUGCCACUGGUCCCUUUCCAGCAAGUCUCCUCACGCCGAACCCUGCCUACCUGCCGCUCCAUCCUCUGGUCUGCCUCUCCGAACCCCCCCAUCGCUCUCAGACCUAGGUCAGGGAGACUGAGGGGUCUAGGAAGACAGGGGGGAUGGGGUGGUAGGGAGGUCGGGGGGAGGUUGCGGGAGGCUUGCUGGUGGGGGGGUCAGUGAAGGGCCCAACCCCGGGGGCAAAAGCAGGUGGGUGUGUGGAUGCGGGGGUGCAGUCUGAGAGGGCGGCGGGGGGGGGGGGUCUAGGGGUCUCCUAGUAGCGAGCGAACAGGGUACUUCCAGCCACCCCUCCCAGCCAUCAGCCGCCUCCCAGCCAUCUGUCCCUGUCUCUCUUCCGCCGUCAGUAGCCUGCCGCUGGUCCUCUAUCUCAGCUAGCCUUGCCGAACCUUGCCUACCUGCCACACCGUCCUUCGGUCUGCCUCUCCAAACCCCCCCAUCGCUCUCAGACCUACCUGGAAAGCCCUAUCCCCCUCGGGGGUGAAAGGCCCAAGGGUAGGUCAGGGAGACUGAGGGGUCAAGGAAGACAGGGGGGAUGGGGUGGUAGGGAGGUCGGGGGAGGUGGGGUCUCGCUGGGGGAUGGGGGUUAGCCAAGGGUCAACCCGGCGGGGGAGGGGCAGGUGCAUAUGGGUGGGUCGAUGCCGAUGACCGAGAGGGGGGGCCAAGGGGUCCCCCAGUAGCGAGCGAACAGAGCACCAGCCACCCCUCCCAACCAUCAGCCACCUCCCAGCCACCCGUCUCUGUCUCUCUCUUCCGCCGUCAGUAGCCCCGCCACUGGUCCCCCUAUCUCAGCUAGCCUUGUCGAACCUUGCCUACCUACCACGCCACCCUCCGGUCUGCCUCUCCGAACCCCCCCAUCGCUCUCAGACCUACCUGGAAAGCCCUAUCCCUCUCGGGGGUCAAGGCCAAACAAGGGUAGGUCAGGGAGACUGAGGGGUCUAGGAAGACAGGGGGGGUGGGGUGGUGGGGAGGUCGGGGGAAGCGGGGUGUCGUUGGGUGAUGGGGGCCCAGCCAAGGGUCAACCCGGUGGGGGAGAGGGGAAGGGUACGUGUGGGUGGGUGGAUGCCGAUAACCGAGAGGGAGGUCGAGGGAUCCCCAAGUAGCGAGCGAACAGGGUACUUCCAGCCACCCUCCCAGCCAUCAGCCGCCUCCCAGCCACCUGCCUCUCUGCCACCGUCAGUAGCCCCUGCCACUGGUCCCUUCUCUCAGCUAGCCUUUGCCGAACCUUGCCUACCUGCCACGCCAUCCUCCGGUCUGCCUCUCCGAACCCCCCCAUCGCUCUCAGACCUACCUGGAAAGCCCUAUCCCCCUCGGGGGUCAAGGCCAAACAAGGGUAGGUCAGGGAGACUGAGGGGUCUAGGAAGACAGGGGGGGUGGGGUGGUGGGGAGGUCGGGGGAGGUGGGGUCUCGCUGGGGGAUGGGGUCAGCCGCUGGUCCCCUACCUCAGCUAGCCUUGCCGAACCUUGCCUACCUGUCACGCCACCCUCCGGUCUGCCUCUCCGAACCCCCCCAUCGCUCUCAGACCUACCUAGAAAGCCCUAUCCCCCUCGGGGGUGCAAGGCCCAAGGGUAGGUCAGGGGGACUGAGGGGUCUAGGAAGACAGGGGGGGUGGGGUGGUGGGGAGGUCGGGGGAGGUGGGGUCUCGCUGGGGGAUGGGGCCCAGCCAAGGGUCAACCCGGGGGGAGAGAUGCAUGUGGGUGGGUCGAUGCCGAUGACCGGGAGCGAGGCCAAGGGGUCCCUCAGUAGUGAAGGCAAACCAGUCUGCAAAGGCCUGUAUCUGGCCUAGGCGUUCUCAAGUCUGGACGUGCUUCAACGGCAGGGCUGCUUAACUGCAUACCUACCGCGGGGGUACCGAAGGGCGACACACCUCGAUGCGGGGAAGACCCAUACCAAAUGACGGCAGUACCAGGCUCUCUCGGUUAACACCGGGAGCCCACGUCGAACCACCCAGACCACCCCUCCUCAAGCUCUAUCAUCCCCCUCCCCCCUGUCCCCCAACCUCCCUUCCUACGCUUGCCUCUGGGCUUGCAAAGGCGGGGGAGGGUGGGCGAUUGGGGGGGGGGGUGGGUGGAGGGCGAGGGGGGCAGAAUGAGAAGGGUGGGGAGACCUGGUUAUAACCUGUCGUCAGGGUUCACUCGCAGGCAACAAGGCCCAUCCAAACCUCAGGCAACGCCAUUGUAGUGCGCGGCCAACGGGGCGGGUAUGGUGGGCUGCGUGUCUCAAAGACUGCAAAGGUGUGGGCUUAGCUACCACUUAAGCGACUCCCAGGGGGGAGAGGGACACCUCUCCUCCUGGGGCGUGAUGGGUGUGGGCGCGGCUUAAGGUACAGUCUACUCCCACCCGCAAGGGAUUUCCAGCGAGAGGAGGACCGAGGGAGGGCAAACCAACCACCUCGGACCACCGUGUCUUGUCUCCGACUGCUCAACCAGCCUGCUUCCGACCUACUCAACCCAUCCUCAAGCAACCCCCCCUACCUACCCACCCCCUUGGCUUCAUCUGAAGCCCGGGAGGUGGGUGGCUGGGAGGGGCCAGCGAGGGGAUGGGGACGGGUGGCUAGGGGGUUAAGGCUGGGAGGGUACGAGGGGGCAGGGUCCUGGAGGGGCAUCCGUGCCCUGGGUAACCAACCGGAACUGGCUUGUGGCCGCCAAGCGUUCAUAGCGACGUGGC